Molecule: long non-coding RNA, 877 nt
Filed under: Olea europaea subsp. europaea
Lineage: Eukaryota; Viridiplantae; Streptophyta; Magnoliopsida; Lamiales; Oleaceae
Source: RNAcentral
CUUUUUUAACCUAUCCCCAAACCUAGAUUCCUUCCCAUUUUUUCUCUCUUGUCAAAGAAAGAAGCCCUGGAAAUCAUCUUCUCGUCUUCUUCCUUUUCUUCGAUGGAUCUGCAGGUUAAUGUACAGAGAGUGAGCACUCUCCGUGCUGAUAUAGAGGUAAAUUCAGAGAGACAAAUACAACUCCCACUCAACCGUGUCUCCUCAACGCUUCCAUUAGCCGUAGGUGUCAGCUUUGUAUGUGGACAUUGGGUUGGAUUUGAUUAAUUGGAUCUGUGUGGAUUCGGGGAUUUUUUUUAGGAAUUGGAUGAGAUGAAUAAGCGAUUGAAGGAGAUGGGAGAGGAGGCGGCCGCUCUGCGUGUAAUGCAGGCGAAAGUUGAGAAGGAGAUGGGUGCUGUUCAAGAUCUGUACUUUUCGGUUUCGCUUUCUGGUUCUUAUUCUGUGAUUCUCUAUUUUUUGGUUUUAAUUAUUUCCAGCUAUAUCUAAGUGGUAUAAAUGUGUUGGAUUUUAUGUUCUUGAGGAAAUUGAUUUUGAUUUUAGAGGGCAACGUGUUUUAAUUGGAAGUAGUUUGGGGAAAUUGUACAAGUUAUCUUCUUCACUGUUUUGAUGACUUUUUAUUUUUUAUUUUUGGUUAAAGCUACAUACAAAGAAAGGAUAUGGAGAAAACAUGGUAUCUAUGUUGCAUAAGAAAUGUAGAAGAAAUCAUGCAAUUACGCAUUUGAAAGGAAAAAAUACAAAUAUGAAAGGAAGAUGAAAAAAGUGCAGCAUCUUUAUUUCCUACAAAAACUCAGAAGAAUUCAAGCGUAGAUUAAAAGAUCCAUAUUUCGAUUGUUAGGAGGGAAAGAUUAACUAAUGUGGUUUAGUAGUCUUCAUGUAUGCC